RNAcentral lists this transfer RNA (75 nucleotides) under Elusimicrobiota bacterium. RNAcentral's name for it is "Elusimicrobia bacterium tRNA-Val". It matches the Rfam family "tRNA". From Rfam's summary of the family: Transfer RNA (tRNA) molecules are approximately 80 nucleotides in length. Their secondary structure includes four short double-helical elements and three loops (D, anti-codon, and T loops). Further hydrogen bonds mediate the characteristic L-shaped molecular structure. tRNAs have two regions of fundamental functional importance: the anti-codon, which is responsible for specific mRNA codon recognition, and the 3' end, to which the tRNAs corresponding amino acid is attached (by aminoacyl-tRNA synthetases). tRNAs cope with the degeneracy of the genetic code in two manners: having more than one tRNA (with a specific anti-codon) for a particular amino acid; and 'wobble' base-pairing, i.e. permitting non-standard base-pairing at the 3rd anti-codon position. Lineage: Bacteria; Pseudomonadati; Elusimicrobiota. The record is from RNAcentral.
GGGCAGUUAGCUCAGCGGUAGAGCGCUGUCCUCACACGACAGGGGUCAUAGGUUCAAAUCCUAUACUGCCCACCA